This 8236-nucleotide long non-coding RNA is filed under the name Medicago truncatula (barrel medic). RNAcentral describes it as "long non-coding RNA (MTRU_LNC006186)". Lineage: Eukaryota; Viridiplantae; Streptophyta; Magnoliopsida; Fabales; Fabaceae. The record is from RNAcentral.
CGAAGGAGUCAACCAUGACACCAAUGACCAAUUAUGUCCUGUUUUUUGAUUAACGCCUAACUUCAUCGUUGGGAUCAAAACGUCUGAUGGAUAAUCAAAACUCUGCCACAACACAGUCUUUGACCCAUUGGGGUGAAAUUGUUGAAGCACAAAGUUACCUGUGUCUAAUAUAGUGGCCAAAGUGUUGUUUAUGGGUUGAGGUGAAGAGUAAAUGAUUAUUGGUUUCCUAUUUUGUGAUUCUAUUUUGAGCACACCAGAAUAAUCUAGUGAUAGAACUGCUGAAUUUAAGUCAAUGGAAUGAUUUCUAUCAUGCAUCUUCGUUUGACACUUACCAUCAGGUGAGCAUCUUCGUUUUCUAAAAUAUCGCUGAAUAGUACACAAAACUUGCCUUGUUUUGAAUAUAGCGUGGAAUUUGCAUCAAAUUUAUCACCUGGCUUCAAACUAUCACUUGUUGCUUCAACACAAAUAUUAGCAACAGUGUUCCACCACAACCAUAGGUAUAUCAAUAGAUCUUGUUUCUUUAUUUCAAAGCUUAUCAUGAUUCAUGAAUAUUUUUUCAAAAAGAAGAGAAAUACUCACCAACUUGUUUCUUGCAAUCUGCACUGCCCAACUUUGGGUUGGAAAUUUGAUACAACUGAUUUUAGACACUUAUCAGAGUUUGUUCUAGUUCACAAAGUUAAUGUCAAAUCAACUUUAUCUUUAUUUUUCCACUACUAAAUGUUGCACAAACUAGACUACCUUUCUCUACUACUUUUUUUAAAAGGAAUAAGAAAAGAGCAGUUUACUUUAGUACAAUAAUAAUUGAAGGAAAAGUAAAUGUAUAGAUAAUAACGUCCCUGUUCACAAGGGACCUAAGUAAAGUUUAUUUUAGUUUAUUGAUUUUUUAAGAACAAAAUUUAUUAGAAAGGAGAGAAGUAGAAAGAGUACUUAAUUAACCCAUAACUCAGGAAAAGUAUAAGAGGUACUUGCCCCGCAAAAAACCAAUCCUAAAUACUCCGUAUAAGGCGUUUGAGUGCCAAAAUAAAUCUUCAAAAAAUAUAUUAAUUCAGUAGCUAAAGAAAUUUGUACUAUUGCGAUUCAAUUGUAAGGAAAGGGCUAAUUGCUAAAAAUAUAUUAAUUCAGGAACCUGAUUACAGUUUUUUUAGUUUAGACACCUGUUUAAAUUUUCUCAAAUAGUUUAGUUACCUACAAAUAUUUCAACCUUUUAUUACUUUCUUUUCUAUUAAAAAAAAAAUAUUGCAAAAAUGAAAGACGUAUUCUUUUCUAGAUAAAAGCAUUUUCAAAAUAUAAAGAAUAAACCAAGUAGCUUAAUUCACUCAAAAAAAAAAAAACCAAGUAGCUUAACAUUGUUAGUAGAUUAAGUUCAAAAGUAUUUCAACAGUAGGAACAGACAACAGUGAAGUAUCAACUUUCCAUUCCAUCACUUAUCAUUAAUUAAUUGUGUCAAUGUAGUGGAGAAAGUGUUGGAGAAAGGUACUCUUGUGGAAUGUAGUGGAAAGUAAAGAUAACGUUGAUUUGUUUAGAUUAUGUGCAUGGCAAAUGAAAUCUGUUGAGAGCCAAUUGAUUUCUUUCUUUGCAAAUUUCCUAUCCAAAAAAGUUGGAGUUCAAAGACGUGCAAUGCAUUGUAGGAUUUGAAACUGAAACCAUCCUUCUAUGUCUCGGUGAGUAUUUUUUUGGAGCAAUCAAAUCAACUUAUAUUAUACUAAUAUAUUAAAUAUCACUCCAAGUUACAAUACAGCUUAUAUAUUAGAUCUAGUAACAUUUGGAAAAGGUUACUAAAUUAAAAACAUAUGUUACUAAAUUUGAUCUAAAAGCAAUUGAUAAAUGUUUGUUAAAGCCUGUGUUACUAAAUAGUCUUAGUAACCUUAGUAUUAGUAACAUGCAAAAAAUGUUACCCAUUUAGUAGCUCAACCAUAGUUAAUUUUCUAGGAUAAAUAAACAAAGAUUAAAUUUAUCAUUCAUGAUCACCAUCUAGAUCUUCUGCUUCAAACUUACAAAUUCUAAAAUAAAAAAAAAUUCAAAGUGAUCAAAUUAAGAAUCACAAAGAAAAUGUUUCUUGUCAUGUCUAGGUAAAUACAUGUAGAAAAUAGAGCCUCAAAUGCUCAAUGUCUUUAAUAACUAAAUUGUUAACCACAAUUGCCAUUUAAUAUGAAGUUAACCUCAAAAUGUUAUCUUUACCAUCAAACUUAAAAUAGACUAAAAUGCUUCUCUCCACCACUUGCUGUCUUGAUCUUUACCAUUCAACUUUAGGCAGAGCCUGAAAUGCUUCUUUCUUCCCACUCAAGUUAUGGUAUCUUUGUUCAUCAACUAUCUCUAUCCACACUAGUACUUAAUUCGAAGAGAAAAGAAAACAAUUCUAGGGUGUGUUUGGGCCAGCUUUUUUUAUGGUUAGAACCAACUUUAAAAUCAAAGUAAACUUGAAGUAAAGUUGUUUGGAAACUUUAGUUUUUUAUUUUAAACUAAAAUUUGUUUGGUAAAUUAUGUAUUUUUUUUUUAUUUUAUAAAAUGAUAUAUUAAAAAAAUUUCAAGAAAUUGAUUUGCGAUAGAAACAUUAUAUUUAUGAUGAUUAUAUCCAUGCUUUAAAAUUUUAUUUCAAAUUAUAAAUUCUUUUACGAUAUAUAAACAAAUAUCAUGCCAAAUUAUAUAUUUAAAUUAAAAUAUUUAUUGUUUGAGAUGUCAUAAACUCUACAACUCUUGAAUUAGAAAAAAAAAAUUGAAAAUUAUAUUGCCUGUCAUUAUAAAAAUAAAGUUGACAAAUUGGAACAGUCAAGAAAACAAAAUAGUUGGAACAAGUUUUACGAAUCCUCUAAAAAAAAUAAACAAGCUUUGAAUGUCAAACAAAUAACAAAAGAAGAAGACAAAUAUGUUUCUAGUGGGAUUCGAAACAGGAGUGGAAAAUGGCAAGGCGCAUAAGUUUGCCUAAAGUUCAAUUUGCCGACUUCUCCUUUUUAUGUUUUUCUUCCUUAAUAUUAAGUCACUUAUUUUUAUUAGGAGUUUCAAAUGAAAUGUGAUUGGCCCAUCUUCUUCUUUAAAGAAGAAGAGAAGUUAAAAUUAAGUCAGGCCAAACACUACUAUCCAAAUUUCUAAGGUAGAAAAUAUAGACAGCAUGUAUCACAUUUUUUGAGAUACAAGACAAAAGUGCCAAAAUUGGCAGCAUGCUAAGGAACAAAAAGAUGCAGAAGAUUAUGAAUAAUGCUAUCUGCAAAACAAUACGCCAUCUACUACAUAUGUUUGCAUGUGCCAAUUCUAUUCUAACACCUAUCUGGCCCAUUGAAGUAUAUAAUUCCAACGUAUGUUGGAGAUUAGCAUCGAAUUUCAUAGUCAAAUUUGUAGUGAAGUUUUCAUCGAGGUCCAAAAGAAAACGAUAGUCGACAAACUAAUUAUUGUGAAUUGAUAAGAUCGAACAAUCAUACACAUUGUGCUCAAACAUAUAGUCAAGCGCGAUCUCAGAAAUAUCCAAUUUGGUCGGCAAGGGUUUCAUUUGCAAUCAAAAUUUCAAUUAGAAGAAUAAAUAUAUAUAUAUAUAUAUAUAUAUAUAUAUAUAUAUAUAUAUAUAUAUAUAUAUAAAUAAACCAAGAAUAAUAAUUUUGGUAAUAUCCAAAAGACAACAAUUAAGAAUUAUAAUACAAAAACCAUGAUAAAAUAAUAUAGUUUCAUAAAUAUGAACAAAAAUCACCAUACCUACUAAGUCAAAACAUAUACCUGCCAUUUUUGUACAUAUAUAUAACUGCUCAUAUUGAAAUAAGUUCUAUUUAUGUGAGCAAUUAAACUAAAAAAUUAUCCAUUUUCGUGAUUGGCAUGCUUUUUAAAUAGUAGAGAUGGGAUUGAUUGGAAAGCUUUUCAGAAACCAAUUUUUAUGGAACUAAUUUGUUAUCUGCCAUUUAUAGACAAAACUUGUUAGAAAAGUGAUUGGUGAUGGAUUAAGAAAUUGUUCAACAAGGAUUAUGAAAAAUCUCAUAUAGACUAAAAUAUAUUAACGAGAACUACCAUGAAAAAAUACACAUUAAACAGAACAUUGCGAGUAUACUUUUACAGACACAGAAAAUGAGUAUAUUUCAUAAACAAAAUCCAUAUUCAGGUGAUUUUUAUUACUUAUAUUUUCCCUUCUACUUCACAUGAGGAAGAAAUUGUUGUCGUAGAAUAGGUGUCGGUGUCUUUCCCUUUGGAAGUUGUUUCCCCCUCAAAGAUAUUUCUUCUAACAUAGAAUGCUGGUCUUCUUGGUAAGGUUGUGAGUUCAUAUUUGUUUGUUAACAUUGAUAUAACAUCAGACAUUGUAGGUCGAUCAUUUGCAUAAUGUUCUACACAUAAGAGACCAACAUGAAUGCACCUUUGCACUUCAUAAGGAACAAAUGUGUCACUUAAAGAUGGAUCCAGUAACUGUAGAUGCUCACCAUCAUUCCAUAGCUCCCAUGCCUAUUAAUAAUAUAAUUAAAUUAUGAACAACGGUUAAUAUUUAUUAAAAAAAACUCAAUGAAAGUAAUUGACAUACAUGUCCGAUUAGAUUUAGUGGACGAUCAUCAUCAUAGAAGCUAUUAUUUUUUCUUCCACAAACAAUUUCAAGCAGCAACACUCCAAAGCUAUAGACAUCAGACUUUGUAGAACAAACUCCUUCCAUGGCAUAUUCUGGAGACAUGUAUCCACUACACCAAAAAUUCAUAACUUUCAAAAAAUAAAGUAUUCACAAAAUCAUCAUAAAAACAUUUAUAACAAAUAAAUUUUAGAAUACUCACUAAGUCCCAACAAUCCGGUUGGUAUUUACUGUGGAUUCCUGUUGUGUAAACAUUCUUGCCAUACCAAAAUCAGAAAUUUUUGGGUUCAUAUUCUCAUCAAGAAGUAUGUUGCUAGCUUUCAAGUCUCUGUGAAUAAUUUUGAGUCUUGAGUACUUAUGAAGAUAGAGUAAUCCUUGAGAAAUUCCUUCUAUUAUGUUGAAACGUGUUUUCCAAUUUAGAAACUUCUUUUUUGUACAAUCUUCUCAAUGAAAACAUAAUAAUUAAUGUUAAAAUGUGUAUUUUAAAGUUAGGAUAACAUCACAUACAAAUAUAGACUUCAACACAUUCUCACCAAAUAGGUAGAAAUCCAAGCUUUUGUUAGGCAUAUAUUCGUAAAUUAGAAUCCUUUCUUCUUCAUGAAUGCAACAACCAAGUAGUUGUACAAGAUUUGUGUGCUGAAGUUCACAUAUAAGUACCAAUUCAUUUUUGAAUUCCACAAUUCCUUGUCCAGAUGUUUUCGAAAGUCUUUUUACAGCAACUUCUUGCCCUGUUGCCAAGAUUCCCUGAAAUAGUAAAAACAAAAGUACAAAUUUUAGGUGCAUUUCUUUAGAUAUCUUUAAUAUGGUUCUUAACUUAAUACAUUUGAAGAAUGCAUAUAAGUUUUUUCCGAAACAAUAAUCACCAACCAUGAAAAACAUUAGCACAUUAGAAAACUUGUUUGCAACAUGAUACUGGUGCCAUAAUUAUAAUAGUAAUUUAAAACAUGCUUUUAAACAAACAUAAUCAUUCACGUAUAAAAAAAUACAAUUUAGCUAUAAAGUCACCUUAUAAACGGGUCCAUAGCCUCCCUGUCCUAACUUGUUUUCAGGGGAAAAGUCCAUAGUUGCUUCCAAGAUUGAUGCAAAGUUAAAAACUUUUAUAUCAUGUCCCUUGAAGUCAUCUUCAAGAUCUUUGAUAUCAUAGUAUUCGACCAAAUCAAUGCUCUUACCUUCCUUUCUUUUACUUUUCUUAUCUACAUAACCGAAAAAAUCAAAGAUAAAGAUAAAACCUAUACAUAUCCAUCUUUUCUUAACUGCAUUGACUAUUUUAAAGUAUCCAUAUACCUUGUAGUGCAUGUUUUUUUUUCUUUUUGGCUUGGCAUAAAAUGAGUGGGCAUAAUAUGAGUAAAGCAAUUGUGAUUGCAGAAACUAUCCAUAUCCACCUUUUAACACCUGCAUUAACUAUACAAGAUCAAUUUGAAUUGUGAUAUAAGCAUAUUCAUCUCAAAUAGUUUAUUCUUUUUGGUCUUAUCCUGAUGCCAAACCCUAAUCCUAUACUUCAAAUUCAAAAUUCUCGUUUAUAAAUAUGACUUUUGGAAUCAUGAGGAUUAUUUUUUUCCAUCACAAGUUUAGUCACCAAAGAGAAACUAUACCCUCAAAUGCUCAAACACUCAUAACUUUCUCUUGACUAAUCCGAUUUCAAUUUCAUCCAUUGCGAUAUAUCUUUAUAACAUCAAGAAUCUUAUUACAAAAGUUUGUUGAUGUUUCAUUUUAAUUUUGGCUAUUGUUUCUAUCACUGAUCAAUAGAAAUAUAUCCCUUUGAAACCUUUCUGUUUUAUUUGAGUUCUUUAGAUCUUGUGAAAUAUAUUUGAUUAGAACGAUUUUGAAGAAGUGAUUGUGAUGAGGAUGUAAAAGUGAUUGCGAUAAAGCAUAUAUGAUGAGUAGUGAUUCUGAUGAAACGAUUAUGAUUAAACAAUUCUGAUGAAGCGAUCGUGAGGAAGCGAUUGUGAGAUGAAGUGAUUCCAUGUCGAGUUAAACCUUAUUUUAAAAUUUAUUAUAGAGGAGGGUGGUUGGGUAGCUCAACAAUUGAGUUAAGGGGUUAAAAAAGUUGUCGAGUUAAAAGGCUAUGAUUGAAGUCAUAACAAAGAAAAAAAAUACUAACACGAUAGUAAUUACUAUACUAACAUUUGCGAUUAAAAUUACGGGUGUUCGUGGUGUGGGUUGGUUCGGUUUUGGGGCUAAAAGUUAUCCGAACUUCAAGAUAAAAAUACAUGCGGUUUGGUAUGGUUGACUUUUAAAAUAAAAUCCGAACCAAACCAAACCAAUGCGGAUUGGGUUGGAUCGGUUGGUGUGGUUUUUUUUUUUAAUUUUUUUUUUAUAUAAAAUAUAAUUCUGUUUCCAACAUUAAUAUCAAGUUAAAAAGUUAAAACACAACAAAUUUUAAACAAUGUUUCCAAAAUUAUAGUUUAAUUUUCAUCCAACGAUGUUUCCAACAAUGCAGUUGAUAAUUAUUGUUAUAGGUGGCAUAGGUUUAAUUAUUGUUUUUCUUUUGUUUCAAUUUGGUUUGGUUUGGUUUGGUUCGGUUGAUAAGAUAAAAACCGCAAACUGAACCAUGCAAUUGUGUAAAAAAAUGAUCCAAAUACAUCUGACCAAAUGCAGUUUUUUGCGGUUUCGGAUUAGGUUGGUUCGGUUUGUGAUUUUCUUAUUGGACUGGUUCGGUUUUGAACAUCCCUAAUUAAAAUAACGAUUUAUAAUGGGUCUCAUUACAAAGAUGUUUGAUUCCAAUAUUUUUAUUUUGUUUGUUUACCGAUUCCAAUCAAUUUUAUUUGUCCUUAGAUUGACAUCCGCUAUCUAAUGGGCUAAAGGAAGUCAAUGUCUACGGUUGAAUAAGCAGAAAAUAAAUAAUCACUUAAAAUGACAUUAUAACUUACGUACCAUGGGAAUUCGGAGCUGAUUUUGUUGGCUUUACCAAGUUGUAAAAGGUAUCCGCAACCACCUGAACAUAUUGUGUCGAAUUCCAUGAAUGGAAUACACAUCCAGUCCCAUUAUCAUAAUAUUCUUGGAAUGCACUGCAAUUACAAUUUUUCCAACAUCUCAUCUUGCAAUCACUGUAACUAUAAGUCACAUCCUCUUCAAACGUUGUUGAAUUGUCAAUGCUUGGUCUUCCCGCCUUUUUCUGAAACACCUCACCAGGUUCCCUGCAAGUUGGUAUAUCCUCCCAUUUUUGGCAUCCUCCAUCACUAUAUCCGUAACACAUAUCUGCAUUAGCAAUAUAUCCAUCAUCACCUACUAACCUCCCUUUCGAGAUUAGUUCCCAUUGUGCAAACUUCCCAUCUUUAACUUCGAACGUGAAAGAAUCUUCAUCCUUGUUAGAGACAAUAAUGUACUGAUACCUAUUUUGAACAUUGGCCGGAAUAUUCUCGAAUAAUCCAUUGCUUUUAAGUUUUCCGCUUUUCCAAUACACUUUGCCGCUUUUCUUGAUGUUCAAUUCUCCUUCUUUUGGUCCCCAUUCAAGAUUAAAUUUAUCUGAAACCAAUGACCAUUUAUGUCCAGUUUUUCGAUUAACUCCCAACUUCAUCAUUGGGAUCAAUACGUCUGUGGGAUAAUCGAAACUCUGCCAUAAUAUACUCUUUGUCCCAUUUGGGUGAAGUUGUUGAAGCACAAAGUUACCCGUGUCUAAAAUAGUGGCCAUAGUGUUGUUGGUAGGUUGAGGUGAAGAGUAAAUGAUUAUUGGUAAUUUCCUAUUUUGAGAUUCUAUUUUGAGCACAC